GAUGAACGCUGGCGGCGUGCCUAAUACAUGCAAGUCGAGCGAACGGACGAGAAGCUUGCUUCUCUGAUGUUAGCGGCGGACGGGUGAGUAACACGUGGAUAACCUACCUAUAAGACUGGGAUAACUUCGGGAAACCGGAGCUAAUACCGGAUAAUAUUUUGAACCGCAUGGUUCAAAAGUGAAAGACGGUCUUGCUGUCACUUAUAGAUGGAUCCGCGCUGCAUUAGCUAGUUGGUAAGGUAACGGCUUACCAAGGCAACGAUGCAUAGCCGACCUGAGAGGGUGAUCGGCCACACUGGAACUGAGACGCGGUCCAGACUCCUACGGGAGGCAGCAGUAGGGAAUCUUCCGCAAUGGGCGAAAGCCUGACGGAGCAACGCCGCGUGAGUGAUGAAGGCCUUCGGAUCGUAAAACUCUGUUAUUAGGGAAGAACAUAUGUGUAAGUAACUGUGCACAUCUUGACGGUACCUAAUCAGAAAGCCACGGCUAACUACGUG
Molecule: ribosomal RNA, 497 nt
Filed under: uncultured bacterium
Lineage: Bacteria
Description: partial 16S ribosomal RNA
Rfam family: Bacterial small subunit ribosomal RNA
Source: RNAcentral